RNAcentral lists this transfer RNA (76 nucleotides) under Oscillospiraceae bacterium. RNAcentral describes it as "tRNA-Thr". It matches the Rfam family "tRNA". Rfam says of the family: Transfer RNA (tRNA) molecules are approximately 80 nucleotides in length. Their secondary structure includes four short double-helical elements and three loops (D, anti-codon, and T loops). The record is from RNAcentral. Lineage: Bacteria; Bacillati; Bacillota; Clostridia; Eubacteriales; Oscillospiraceae.
GCUUCCGUGGCGCAGUUGGCAGCGCGCGUCCUUGGUAAGGACGAGGUCACGAGUUCGAAUCUCGUCGGAAGCUCCA